UACCCCGGUAUCCAGUGCAGGUUGGACGGUACAGGAAGAGCUUGCUGCUUUGCUGACGAGUGGCGGACGGGUGAGUAAUGUCUGGGAAACUGCCUGAUGGAGGGGGAUAACUACUGGAAACCUUUGCUAAUACCGCAUAACGUCGCAAGACCAAAGAGGGGGACCUUCGGGCCUCUUGCCAUCGUAUGUGCCCAGAUUUUUUUA
Molecule: ribosomal RNA, 204 nt
Filed under: bacterium NAIP5
Lineage: Bacteria
Description: partial 16S ribosomal RNA
Rfam family: Bacterial small subunit ribosomal RNA
Source: RNAcentral